UUUCCUUUUCCUCCUCCUCCCAGCCCACCCCCACCCCUUGCAACUAUAAUAGAUUUUCUUCCUUGAAGAAGCCCACCUGGAUUUCACCCCCAGUUACCUUGGAUCUGUGGGCUCAGGAUGAUAGUUCCAGAGGAUCCCCUGAGCUGCCACAUAGAACUGCCUUAGUUGCGCGGCCUCUGCCUGGUGGCUGCCCCAGCCCGCCCAGCGGGUUCCCAGAACCACCAGGAGGAAGAAGCACGGGCAGACUAGGAGCAUGGCCCUUGUCCUGCCGCGCGCUGCCACCACCGACAGUGCUCAGUGCUCUGUCCCUGUUGCGCGCUGAUCUGUCUCCCUGGAGGACUAAGAAGCUGCAGGGCACAAUCUUCUGUGUCCCCUAGUACCAUCUGGAGGUUUCUGUGAAAGUCUCAGCAGCAGAGGUGUAAACAACCUCAUUGAUAUGAAACAUGGAAGACCCAGGAGAUCUUAAAGCAGGCAUCCCCUUAAACUAGAGGUCUGCCUGCCCACCAACAUUGCUACUCUGCAAUCCCAAGAGAAAGACCUUCGGUUUUCCAGAGCCUGGUCACCUGGUGAGGAAGAUGCUCCAGGGCCUUGGACUCUCCCGUUUUCAGCAACAGCAAAGUAACAACAAGCCACAGACCAGAGCAGAAACAUUUGCUCCUGGGUCUGUGGCUGAGCUGGAGGAAGAGAACCUCAGCAAAUGCCCAAAUGCCAUGGAGUUACAGUCAAGUGUGACAGGAAACUUGACACUUGCAUGUGGAAUCCUGAGAAAUCGAAUGAGACAUUGGCAGACCGGGUUUCUGAAAAAGAAACAAACUAAUUAAAGGACUGCUUCCUUACAAGAUAAAGAAGUCUUUCACCGUGGGCCCCUCUGAUGUCUGAGACAUUUGCCUCUUUCUAGGUUCUGCACUGUCUACCAGCAGGAAAGGGGACUUUUCCCUGUACUGUUUGAAAAGAUGACUUCAGGUGGUUUCUGCUCAGGUAGCACAGGGGAUUUUGAGGCAAGCCCACACUGUCAACGUCACUUCCUUGGCAUCAGUGGGAUCUCAAACAUCCUGGAACAGGUUAUGUACUGCUAGAACCUCUCAUCUGGGCGGGAAUGGAAAUCCAAGGAUAAAUUCUAUUGUCUCCACUCAGUCACACAUACUUGUUGCCAAUAUCAGAGCUUAAUAUUCUAAUACAUGCUUAAAAUUCCAUACAUAUGAUAUAAAGAAAAUUCAAGACUGGUAUUCUUGCCUUUUCAC
This 1241-nucleotide long non-coding RNA is filed under the name Mus musculus (house mouse). Its description in RNAcentral is "predicted gene 16548 (Gm16548)". Lineage: Eukaryota; Metazoa; Chordata; Mammalia; Rodentia; Muridae. The record is from RNAcentral.